AACUUGAGAGUUUGAUCCUGGCUCAGAACGAACGCUGGCGGCAGGCUUAACACAUGCAAGUCGAGCGCCCCGCAAGGGGAGCGGCAGACGGGUGAGUAACGCGUGGGAAUCUACCCAUCUCUACGGAACAACUCCGGGAAACUGGAGCUAAUACCGUAUACGUCCUUUUGGAGAAAGAUUUAUCGGAGAUGGAUGAGCCCGCGUUGGAUUAGCUAGUUGGUGGGGUAAUGGCCUACCAAGGCGACGAUCCAUAGCUGGUCUGAGAGGAUGAUCAGCCACACUGGGACUGAGACACGGCCCAGACUCCUACGGGAGGCAGCAGUGGGGAAUA
Molecule: ribosomal RNA, 331 nt
Filed under: Mesorhizobium sp.
Lineage: Bacteria; Pseudomonadati; Pseudomonadota; Alphaproteobacteria; Hyphomicrobiales; Phyllobacteriaceae
Description: bacterial SSU rRNA
Rfam family: Bacterial small subunit ribosomal RNA
Source: RNAcentral